GACGAACGCUGGCGGCGUGCUUAACACAUGCAAGUCGAACGGAAAGGCCCUGCUUUUGUGGGGUGCUCGAGUGGCGAACGGGUGAGUAACACGUGAGUAACCUGCCCUUGACUUUGGGAUAACUUCAGGAAACUGGGGCUAAUACCGGAUAGGAGCUCCUGCUGCAUGGUGGGGGUUGGAAAGUUUCGGCGGUUGGGGAUGGACUCGCGGCUUAUCAGCUUGUUGGUGGGGUAGUGGCUUACCAAGGCUUUGACGGGUAGCCGGCCUGAGAGGGUGACCGGCCACAUUGGGACUGAGAUACGGCCCAGACUCCUACGGGAGGCAGCAGUGGGGAAUAUUGCACAAGGGGCGGAAGCCUGAUGCAGCAACGCCGCGUGCGGGAUGACGGCCUUCGGGUUGUAAACCGCUUUCGCCUGUGACGAAGCGUGAGUGACGGUAAUGGGUAAAGAAGCACCGGCUAACUACGUGC
Molecule: ribosomal RNA, 469 nt
Filed under: uncultured bacterium
Lineage: Bacteria
Description: partial 16S ribosomal RNA
Rfam family: Bacterial small subunit ribosomal RNA
Source: RNAcentral